RNAcentral lists this ribosomal RNA (443 nucleotides) under uncultured bacterium. RNAcentral describes it as "partial 16S ribosomal RNA". It matches the Rfam family "Bacterial small subunit ribosomal RNA", at positions 338 to 795 of the family's 1533-position model. The record is from RNAcentral.
CCUACGGGUGACAGCAGUGGGGAAUAUUGGGCAAUGGGCGCAAGCCUGACCCAGCAACGCCGCGUGAAGGAAGAAGGCCCUCGGGUUGUAAACCUCUUUUGUCAGGGACGAAGAAAGCGACGGUAUCUGACGAAUAAGCGACGGCCAACUACGCGCCAGCAGCCGCGGUAAUACGGAGGGGGCAAGCGUUGUUAGGAUUUACUGGGUGUAAAGGGUGUGUAGGCGGGACUGCAAGUCAGAUGUGAAAUUCCAGGGCUCAACCCUGGGACUGCAUUUGAAACUGUGGUGCUUGAGUGAUGGAGAGGCAGGCGGAAUUCCGGGUGUAGCGGUGAAAUGCGUAGAUAUACGGAGGAACACCAGUGGCGAAGGCGGCCUACUGGACAUUAACUGACGCUGAGGCGCGAAAGCGUGGGGAGCAAACAGGAUUAGAUACCCGGGUAGUC